RNAcentral lists this ribosomal RNA (1253 nucleotides) under Escherichia coli. RNAcentral describes it as "partial 23S ribosomal RNA". It matches the Rfam family "Bacterial large subunit ribosomal RNA", at positions 1484 to 2717 of the family's 2925-position model. The record is from RNAcentral. Lineage: Bacteria; Pseudomonadati; Pseudomonadota; Gammaproteobacteria; Enterobacterales; Enterobacteriaceae.
AUGUUGGCCGGGCGACGGUUGUCCCGGUUUAAGCGUGUAGGCUGGUUUUCCAGGCAAAUCCGGAAAACUAAGGCUGAGGCGUGAUGACGAGGCACUACGGUGCUGAAGCAACAAAUGCCCUGCUUCCAGGAAAAGCCUCUAAGCAUCAGGUAACAUCAAAUCGUACCCCAAACCGACACAGGUGGUCAGGUAGAGAAUACCAAGGCGCUUGAGAGAACUCGGGUGAAGGAACUAGGCAAAAUGGUGCCGUAACUUCGGGAGAAGGCACGCUGAUAUGUAGGUGAAGUCCCUCGCGGAUGGAGCUGAAAUCAGUCGAAGAUACCAGCUGGCUGCAACUGUUUAUUAAAAACACAGCACUGUGCAAACACGAAAGUGGACGUAUACGGUGUGACGCCUGCCCGGUGCCGGAAGGUUAAUUGAUGGGGUCAGCGCAAGCGAAGCUCUUGAUCGAAGCCCCGGUAAACGGCGGCCGUAACUAUAACGGUCCUAAGGUAGCGAAAUUCCUUGUCGGGUAAGUUCCGACCUGCACGAAUGGCGUAAUGAUGGCCAGGCUGUCUCCACCCGAGACUCAGUGAAAUUGAACUCGCUGUGAAGAUGCAGUGUACCCGCGGCAAGACGGAAAGACCCCGUGAACCUUUACUAUAGCUUGACACUGAACAUUGAGCCUUGAUGUGUAGGAUAGGUGGGAGGCUUUGAAGUGUGGACGCCAGUCUGCAUGGAGCCGACCUUGAAAUACCACCCUUUAAUGUUUGAUGUUCUAACGUUGACCCGUAAUCCGGGUUGCGGACAGUGUCUGGUGGGUAGUUUGACUGGGGCGGUCUCCUCCUAAAGAGUAACGGAGGAGCACGAAGGUUGGCUAAUCCUGGUCGGACAUCAGGAGGUUAGUGCAAUGGCAUAAGCCAGCUUGACUGCGAGCGUGACGGCGCGAGCAGGUGCGAAAGCAGGUCAUAGUGAUCCGGUGGUUCUGAAUGGAAGGGCCAUCGCUCAACGGAUAAAAGGUACUCCGGGGAUAACAGGCUGAUACCGCCCAAGAGUUCAUAUCGACGGCGGUGUUUGGCACCUCGAUGUCGGCUCAUCACAUCCUGGGGCUGAAGUAGGUCCCAAGGGUAUGGCUGUUCGCCAUUUAAAGUGGUACGCGAGCUGGGUUUAGAACGUCGUGAGACAGUUCGGUCCCUAUCUGCCGUGGGCGCUGGAGAACUGAGGGGGGCUGCUCCUAGUACGAGAGGACCGGAGUGGACGCAUCACUGGUGUUC